RNAcentral lists this ribosomal RNA (478 nucleotides) under uncultured bacterium. RNAcentral describes it as "partial 16S ribosomal RNA". It matches the Rfam family "Bacterial small subunit ribosomal RNA", at positions 28 to 507 of the family's 1533-position model. The record is from RNAcentral.
GAUGAGCGCUGGCGGCGUGCUUAACACAUGCAAGUCGAACGGGAAACCUUUUAUUGAAGCUUCGGCAGAUUUAGCUGGUUUCUAGUGGCGGACGGGUGAGUAACGCGUGGGUAACCUGCCUUAUACAGGGGGAUAACAGUCAGAAAUGGCUGCUAAUACCGCAUAAGCGCACAGAGCUGCAUGGCUCAGUGUGAAAAACUCCGGUGGUAUAAGAUGGACCCGCGUUGGAUUAGCUGGUUGGUGGGGUAACGGCCCACCAAGGCGACGAUCCAUAGCCGGCCCGAGAGGGUGAACGGCCACAUUGGGACUGAGACACGGCCCAGACUCCUACGGGAGGCAGCAGUGGGGAAUAUUGCACAAUGGGGGAAACCCUGAUGCAGCGACGCCGCGUGAAGGAAGAAGUAUCUCGGUAUGUAAACUUCUAUCAGCAGGGAAGAUAAUGACGGUACCUGACUAAGAAGCCCCGGCUAACUACGUG